This is a long non-coding RNA of Nelumbo nucifera (sacred lotus), 822 nucleotides long. RefSeq lists it as uncharacterized. NCBI's taxonomy places the organism in Eukaryota, Viridiplantae, Streptophyta, Magnoliopsida, Proteales, Nelumbonaceae. The record is from RefSeq and is a predicted model, not a curated record.
UCUCCCGCGCGAAUUCUCCUCUUCGACAAGACAUAAGGUUCUCUGGUUUCCAACAGAGAACCUUGCAGACAAAUUUUGAAGAUGACAACUUAUUCUUCACGAGCAAGAAAGUUGGGAAGAAAAUCUAGGGUUGUGCGAUUUAGAGAUAGGGUUGUGAGAUUUUCUGGGUGAUUUAGGGUUUGUGAUUUUCUGGGCGAUUUAGAGCUAGGGUUGUGUGAUUUUCUAGGUGAUUUAGAGCUAGGGUUGUGCGAUUUUUCUGGGCGGCCUCUAUUCAUUCGAGCAAGAGAAGAGAAGGUAACGUUCCGAGUGACCUCUGUUCGUUUGAGCUAGGGUUUCCCUUUGUGCUUGAGAACAGGGAAGUUUUUGGGCGCUAUCCAAGCAAGCACCGACCCCUGUUCGUUGGAGCAAGAGAAGAGAAGUGAUUGAUAUCUCAAGGAUGAUCAUCUUACAUCCUAAUGGGGCAAGUUUACUUCUUGUGCAUGUCCAAGAUGAAAAUGGUGCCAUUUGCAGAAGUGGUGAGAAGGAAGGCUUCUAUGAGGUUGUACAUGGACAUGGCUGGACAACUGGCAGAAAGGCUUGCAACAAAGAGGGAGGUUGAGGUCAGAAGACGGGAGCAGUUCUUGAAAGCACAGAGUGCUUUCUUACCUCGGGAUGUAUUUGAAGGAUGACUAUGUAAAGCAUCUUCAAUUCAUGCUAACGAUGAAGGAGAUGCAAUGCCUGUCAUAUCGGAAGCGCAUGCAAGAGAUUUUUUUUCAAUGCCUUUUACUUUUUUAUGUUAAUUGGAUGUUAUAUUUAAACAGUUUGUUUUGGAUAUUAUAAUAA